This 578-nucleotide ribosomal RNA is filed under the name Russula sp. Its description in RNAcentral is "SSU rRNA". It matches the Rfam family "Bacterial small subunit ribosomal RNA", at positions 344 to 973 of the family's 1533-position model. The record is from RNAcentral. Lineage: Eukaryota; Fungi; Basidiomycota; Agaricomycetes; Russulales; Russulaceae.
UUCUUCAGCAGUCCAAAAUAUUAGUCAAUGCUCGAAAGAGUGAACUAGCUAACUGAAAUCAAUUUAAAUUGAUAACAUAAGGGAAAAUAAUGAUAUUACCUUAUUAUUAGUGUCGUCCAAAACUGGUGCCAGAAGACUCGGUAAGGCCAGAGACACAAACGUUAAUCGUCUUAAUCAGGCGUAAAGGGUUUGUAGGCGGCUUUUAAUUUACUUAAAACCAAAAAAAUAAGUUAAGAAUAAAAGCUAGAAUCAAAUAGAGGAUAUAUCAAAUAAUGCUUAGAGUAGGUCCGAUAUCCAUAGAUACUAAGUAGAAUAUUAAAGGCGAAAGCUUUUUUCCAUAAAUGAUUGACGCUCAGAAACGAAGGUGAGGAUAGGAAAUAGGAUUAGAUACCCAAAAUACCCCUCUCUGUCAACGAUGAAUGGUAAUUAUUAAUAAUAAAUUAUUAAUGAUAAUGUUAACACGAUAACCAUUCCGCCUUGUGAGUACAACUGCAAAGUUGAAAACAAAAAAAUUAGUCGGUUUCGGAGCAAACGAAGUGAAGCAUGUUAUUUAAUUCGAUAAUCCGCAAAAGGGGGAA